ACGUAGGUUCCGAGCGUUAUCCGGAUUUACUGGGCGUAAAGCGCGUUCAGGCGGUUUGGCAAGUCGGGCAUGAAAUCUCUCGGCUCAACCGGGAGAGGUUGUCCGAUACUUCCAGACUUGAGGGCAGUAGAGGGUGGUGGAAUUCCGGGUGUAGUGGUGAAAUGCGUAGAUAUCCGGAGGAACACCAGUGGCGAAAGCGGCCACCUGGACUGCACCUGACGCUGACACGCGAAAGCUAGGGGAGCGAACGGG
Molecule: ribosomal RNA, 252 nt
Filed under: uncultured bacterium
Lineage: Bacteria
Description: partial 16S ribosomal RNA
Rfam family: Bacterial small subunit ribosomal RNA
Source: RNAcentral